UGGGGAAUAUUGCACAAUGGGCGCAAGCCUGAUGCAGCCAUGCCGCGUGUAUGAAGAAGGCCUUCGGGUUGUAAAGUACUUUCAGCGGGGAGGAAGGGAGUAAAGUUAAUACCUUUACUCAUUGACGUUACCCGCAGAAGAAGCACCGGCUAACUCCGUGCCAGCAGCCGCGGUAAUACGGAGGGUGCAAGCGUUAAUCGGAAUUACUGGGCGUAAAGCGCACGCAGGCGGUUUGUUAAGUCAGAUGUGAAAUCCCCGGGCUCAACCUGGGAACUGCAUCUGAUACUGGCAAGCUUGAGUCUCGUAGAGGGGGGUAGAAUUCCAGGUGUAGCGGUGAAAUGCGUAGAGAUCUGGAGGAAUACCGGUGGCGAAGGCGGCCCACUGGACGAAGACUGACGCUCAGGUGCGAAAGCGUGGGGAGCAAACAGG
This 429-nucleotide ribosomal RNA is filed under the name Chloroflexota bacterium. Its description in RNAcentral is "Chloroflexi bacterium partial 16S ribosomal RNA". It matches the Rfam family "Bacterial small subunit ribosomal RNA", at positions 355 to 776 of the family's 1533-position model. Lineage: Bacteria; Bacillati; Chloroflexota. The record is from RNAcentral.